GUACCACCCUUCCUUCAGCCUGCAGUUGGUCCUGCAGGGACAUGUUAUGUGGGAGCAGCCCCUGGCCUGUUUGGGGGUUCCUGACACCCAUUUCUGCCGGUCCCCUAGGAGACAGAUUUACUACUAGAUGAUUCUUUGGUGUCUCUCUUUGGGAAUCGUCGGCUAAAAAGGUUCUCCAUGGUGAUAGACAAGGGCGUAGUAAAGGCACUGAACGUGGAGCCGGAUGGCACAGGCCUCACCUGCAGCCUGGCCCCCAACAUCCUCUCACAACUCUGAGGCCCUGACCAGAAUGUCCUCUGACUCUCCCAUCUCCUCCACCCAGCUCUGGGCCAAAGGCCCAGUACCUC
Molecule: long non-coding RNA, 347 nt
Filed under: Rattus norvegicus (Norway rat)
Lineage: Eukaryota; Metazoa; Chordata; Mammalia; Rodentia; Muridae
Description: long non-coding RNA NONRATT003504
Source: RNAcentral